Molecule: transfer RNA, 75 nt
Filed under: Plestiodon tunganus
Lineage: Eukaryota; Metazoa; Chordata; Lepidosauria; Squamata; Scincidae
Description: tRNA-Phe
Source: RNAcentral
GUUAUUGUAGCUUAUUUUUUGCAAAAGCACGGCACUGAAGAUGCCGAGAUGGGUAAAAAAAACACCCCAAAAACA